Molecule: ribosomal RNA, 253 nt
Filed under: uncultured prokaryote
Description: partial 16S ribosomal RNA
Rfam family: Bacterial small subunit ribosomal RNA
Source: RNAcentral
UACGUAGGGUGCAAGCGUUAAUCGGAAUUACUGGGCGUAAAGCGCGCGUAGACGGUUUUGUAAGUCAGAUGUGAAAUCCCUGGGCUCAACCUGGGAACUGCAUUUGAAACUGCAUGGCUAGAGUAUGGAAGAGGGAAGUGGAAUUUCCGGUAUAGCGGUGAAAUGCGUAGAUAUCGGGAGGAACACCAGUGGCGAAGGCGACUACCUGGCCUGUUCUUGACGCUGAGGCGCGAAAGCUAGGGGAGCAAACGGG